GGUUGUAUAGUGUAGUUGGUUAUCACAUCGGAUUCUGAUGACGCCUAAAGCUCAUAGAAUGUUCCGGGGACCUGAGUUCGAAUCUCGGUACGACCU
Non-coding RNA from Microdochium nivale, 96 nucleotides. Lineage: Eukaryota; Fungi; Ascomycota; Sordariomycetes; Xylariales; Microdochiaceae. The record is from the annotation of a GenBank genome assembly.